UACGUAGGGUGCAAGCGUUGUCCGGAAUUAUUGGGCGUAAAGAGCUCGUAGGCGGUCUGUCGCGUCGGCUGUGAAAACCUGCAGCUUAACUGUGGGCUUGCGGUCGAUACGGGCAUCACUGGAGUUCGGCAGGGGAGACUGGAAUUCCUGGUGUAGCGGUGAAAUGCGCAGAUAUCAGGAGGAACACCGGUGGCGAAGGCGGGUCUCUGGGCCGAUACUGACGCUGAGGGGCGAAAGCGUGGGGAGCGAACAGG
RNAcentral lists this ribosomal RNA (254 nucleotides) under uncultured bacterium. Its description in RNAcentral is "partial 16S ribosomal RNA". It matches the Rfam family "Bacterial small subunit ribosomal RNA", at positions 524 to 776 of the family's 1533-position model. The record is from RNAcentral.